This 911-nucleotide long non-coding RNA is filed under the name Marmota monax (woodchuck). The record is from RNAcentral. Lineage: Eukaryota; Metazoa; Chordata; Mammalia; Rodentia; Sciuridae.
CCUGAUGCAAGACCACACCUUCAGACCAGCAGACUACCUCGGGAGGUCAAGCCAGUGGCUCAGAUCCACCCACACCAACUUGUGCCGGACCCAGAUCCAGGAUGCAGUAGCAUUCACUGAGGGACACCAGCAGGGUCUGGAAGCCCAACAUCAAGGUGAGGUACAAUCUGCAUGGGUAGUACAAGAAUAUAGGGAAGAAACUGUAAUAUCUCAGAUCCACACUGCAAGAAAGAACAUGAAGACAACAUGAAAAAACUAGGGGAGAAAGUGCCCCAAACAAACCAGAACACUAUAAUAACAGAACCCAUGCACAGUGAAGUUGAUGAAAUGUCAGAGAAGGAGUUCAGAAGGUUCAAAUUAAAAUGAUCUGUGAAUUAAAGAAUGACCUAAAUGAAAAAUAUAAGCAAAAAUUGUUCAACAAUGAGAUAAGAGUGCAAAUACAGGUAGCAAAAGAUUACUUAGAGAGAGAGAGACUCUGAAAAACAAAAACAACAACCAGAAAUCCUUGAAAUGAAGGAUACAAUAAAUCAAAUAAAAAACUCAACAGAAAGCAUAACCAACAGACUAGAUCACUUGGAAGAAAGAAUGUCAGAUAAUGAAGAUAAAGUACACAACCUGGAAAAUAAAGUUGAUCACACAGUGAAGAUAGUUGGAAACCAUGAAUAGAAAAGAAUUAUGGGUCAGCAUCAGGGCCAAAUCUAAGAGUUAUUGGGAUAGAAGAAGGCAUAGAGUUUCAAACCAAAGGAAUGCACAAUCUCUUCAAUGAAAUAAUAUCAGAAAAUUUCCCAAGCAUGAAGAAUGAGUUGGAAAACCAAAUAUAAGAGGCUCAUAGGACACGAAAUGUACAAAAUUACAACAUAUCUAUACCAAGGCACAUUAUGAUGAAAAUGCCUAGUGUUGAGAGCCACAGC